CCCUACGGGGGGCAGCAGUGGGGAAUAUUGCACAAUGGGGGAAACCCUGAUGCAGCGACGCCGCGUGAGUGAAGAAGUAUUUCGGUAUGUAAAGCUCUAUCAGCAGGGAAGAAGAAGGACGGUACCUGAGUAAGAAGCCCCGGCUAACUACGUGCCAGCAGCCGCGGUAAUACGUAGGGGGCAAGCGUUAUCCGGAUUUACUGGGUGUAAAGGGAGCGUAGACGGCAGUGCAAGUCUGGAGUGAAAGGCGGGGGCUCAACCCCCGGACUGCUCUGGAAACUGUACGGCUGGAGUGCAGGAGAGGG
This 305-nucleotide ribosomal RNA is filed under the name uncultured bacterium. Its description in RNAcentral is "bacterial SSU rRNA". It matches the Rfam family "Bacterial small subunit ribosomal RNA", at positions 337 to 658 of the family's 1533-position model. The record is from RNAcentral.